CAACUUUCAACAACGGAUCUCUUGGCUCUCGCAUCGAUGAAGAACGCAGCGAAAUGCGAUAAGUAAUGUGAAUUGCAGAAUUCAGUGAAUCAUCGAAUCUUUGAACGCACCUUGCGCUCCUUGGUAUUCCGAGGAGCAUGCCUGUUUGAGUGUCAUCA
Molecule: ribosomal RNA, 158 nt
Filed under: Melanoleuca alboflavida
Lineage: Eukaryota; Fungi; Basidiomycota; Agaricomycetes; Agaricales; Pluteaceae
Description: 5.8S ribosomal RNA
Rfam family: 5.8S ribosomal RNA
About the family: 5.8S ribosomal RNA (5.8S rRNA) is a component of the large subunit of the eukaryotic ribosome. It is transcribed by RNA polymerase I as part of the 45S precursor that also contains 18S and 28S rRNA.
Source: RNAcentral